GGGACGCGCCGGUGGCCGGGAUGCGGGGCCUGGCAGCGGCCUGGAGAGUCGACUGCAAUUUGCAAGCUGCGCGCCCCGCCCCGCUCCUGGCCCCCCUGCCCAAUCCUGGACUCUGCCUCUCUUCCAUUUCCUCCCCCCGACCCCUCAACACCGACCUUCGGCGGCCUCCACCCAGUCCUGCACACCUAGGCUGGCGGAGCAAACUCUCACCGCUCGCCCGCGGGGAGUAUCUUUCCAUACAGGUAAAACCGAAAACCGAUUUUUCCAAAACUGUACCCGGACGGCGCCUGCUCUCAGUACCUGGGGGAUGAGAGGGAAAUUCUUUGUACAUAUUUGUAUAAAAAUUAUUGACUUUCCUUUUGGGGUUUUUAUUUUUUUAAGAAAAAAAAAUUCAGUAGAUUUAGAGCUCUGAACUUUCAUUUUUUCUGAAGGUUCACUCUCCGCAGUUUUAUGUGAGAAAAAAUGUAUAGAGACGUUGGGAGAUUUUAAAUAUAAAAUUUUCAGAAGACGAAAGUCAUUCUAUAUAAAAGUCUGUUUAUAUAUAAUGAAUAUAUAUGGUAUUCUAAAUGUUAUUCCAUCGUGUUGUACACAACUUUGUAAAUAAAAUUUUUAAAGGC
Molecule: long non-coding RNA, 617 nt
Organism: Capra hircus (goat)
Lineage: Eukaryota; Metazoa; Chordata; Mammalia; Artiodactyla; Bovidae
Exons: 1
Source: RefSeq, a predicted model, not a curated record